CCCAGGCCUAAUGCAGAGAAUGUAUUUGGCAUAUAUUUGAGCCAGGUCCAUGUCGUAUGAGAUGCGAUUGAGGCUCUCCUUACUGUUUUCCAUGGGCUUCUUAAUCAUAUCAAAAUAUUUAUUGUAUCUUUCUUUCAUAUCAAGAAAAGAAAUAUUUCUUUCGUAUUGUUGUGUUAUAAAUUAAAUAAACAAAUCGGUUUGCAAUUUGAAAUCAUUUCUUUUGUAACUGUUUGACAUUGUUGUUACAUAUUUAUCACUUUUCUCUUUUAAUAAUUGUUAUAUUUUCAUAUAAACAUGAAAUUUCAUUAUAUUGUUUAUGUUCUCUCUAAAUCCGAAACGAGAUUUGAUAAUAUUUGUGGUGGAUCUAAAAAGCUCUCUUCAAUAUAAAUCAAGAAUGGUUCAAAGAUAAAAGAACAAAAAAAAUUAUAAAGACUUUUGUAGAUCCACAACAAAUAUUCGUACGAAUCACACGGCAAAGGAAUUUUAACCGAGAUGGAGUUAUGAGCUUCAUCCAAAAUGAAUGUUUUGUAUACAGAUGAAUUAUUAUCACCCAUAAUUUCAUUUCUAACGCAAAAUAACUUCGAAAACAUCUUAUACAAUAAAACAGACUUGCAUCUCUCCUCAUUAAGCCACGUCAUCAGGUAGGAGAGGGCAAAUCUCGACACGUGUCAACACCUGGGUUGUUCUGUGUUUUUUUUUUCUUGGUUUUGUUUCUUACGUUGUCUGAUACGGAAGUUGAUACGAAAGUGUGAACUGGGCUUUAUAGUAUUUGUGCAUGAAGCCCAGAGUGGAGCCCAGUCUUCUUCACGCUGUCUCAACCCACAAGUGGUUUAGGGUUUUCUCCUAGAGUAACUUACUUGAGCUUGGGGUAUAAAUAUCUCCUUCAUCCAGAAAUGAAGAUUCGAGCUUUGACAACAACCAAAUACUAUGUUCAACUUUCCGGUUAUUACAAUGGCGAAUCUCCAAAUGUUUCUUGCCGAUUUGAGAGGACAAUAGCAUCCAUUUCAAUAGCAACUAGCUAUCCUCUUGGCUCGAUGCCAGGAUUAGUUAAUCAUUAUCAAAGGGUUGAACGUGGUUCUGAUGUCAGUUUGCACGGAUUAUCGUCUACGGAGGCAGGAACAACCAGAAAAGGCAAAGAAAAUUGAAGGAGGAACAGCUUCCUCGCCAUAGAUGUGAGUGAUGAUGAGUACAAUGAGUAUGGUGUAUACCAGACUGAUAUUGAUACUAGCUGCUCUCCUCAAGGUAAUCAAUAUUAUGGCCCAAUGGAAUAUGAGGAGACAAGCAUAGGUGAUGGCCCCUGUAAGCAUCUUAGUGGCGAAACCCAAGAUUGCAUAUAUAUACAAGAAAGCUUUGUAUUUACCUCUUUUGGGAAGGUAACGAAAGAGAGAAUCUGUUUUGUUUUAACCAAAGCAGGUUUCUUCACUUAACUUUUAAGCAAAUCAUGUUUCUUCAGUGUUCAUAGUGGCUGUGACUGUGAUUCUUGUCUGAAUCUGUUUUAUUUCUUCUUUACAUCAUCAACUCUCAAAGCAUUUAGCUCCCCAGUUUUGUCUGAAUUUGUCCUUUCUUAGUUCGCUUUUUUCCAGGAAGGUAAAGACAAAAUAUUAUCUUCACACUCCCAUAACUUCCAUAAACGAGAUUGGAGUAGCAGAAGCAAUAAAUAUAGUCACAUCAAUUGCUUUCUUGAUAGCUUUUGCUAUACUCAGGAUUCAACCAGUAAACGACAUAGCCUACUUCCCUAAAUGGUAUCUCAAGGGCCUAAGAACUAGCUCCAUACAAACUGGUGGCUUUGGAAGCAAGUUCAUCAACUUGGACUUCAUGUCCUAUGUUUGAUUCCUCAACUGGAUGCCUGAAGCACUUCAAAUGCCAGAACCAGAGCUCGUCAGGUCUCGAUUCUGUUGUCUACUUGAGGAUUUAUGUACUCGGGUACAUAUAUAAGUAAAACCUCACAAAGCUCUUCUCUUUUCUCCAAAGCCCUUUACUUGACACCAUGGUUUUAACUUGCAGGUUCAAGAAUUUUUCCCCAUAGCUUGCGUUGCUUUUACAACAAUGGUGCAUGUUAAUUGGAAAAACAAGGGACUAGAUGGAUUAAAACACUCUAAUAUAAGCUACAGUGAUAUUGAUAAGCUUUCAUUGUCAAAUAUACCAAAUGGAUCAGACAUGUGAGCUAUACAUUUCCCAGAGUUUGGUUCUUUUUCUUCUUUGUUCCAUUAGUGUAAUGGUUAUUCAUUUUCCUAUAGAUUUUGGGUGCAUCUGUGUAUGGCUUAUGCAAUCACCUUCUGGACAUGCUUAAUGCUGAAAAGAGAGUAUUAGAAUA
This is a long non-coding RNA of Brassica napus (rape), 2314 nucleotides long. RefSeq lists it as uncharacterized. The record is from RefSeq and is a predicted model, not a curated record. The transcript has 2 exons. NCBI's taxonomy places the organism in Eukaryota, Viridiplantae, Streptophyta, Magnoliopsida, Brassicales, Brassicaceae.